GGAAGCAUUGUGAUGAGAGUGAUGAUCCGGCUGUCCCAGUGUGCCAGGUCCUGGGUUGGGGUCCAUGUUGCCCUUACAACUGUUUAGCAAGAAACAUGUUAUUCGAUCCAUUCACCAAGGAGGAAACUGAAGUUCAGAGAAGAGUGAGUCAGCUCCAAAUUCCAAAGUGAUGGAAGUGGACUUGGGUCCCCCAUCUACUUGUCCAUUCCUGGGACAGAUGAGACAGGAUUAUAUGUCAGACCAAUUCUUCAAGAUCAGAUGACCUAUUAAGUCCAAGGACUCAUCUGAAACAUCAGUCACGCUCUGGUCCAGAGAGGUGGUGUUUUUUCCAAGGUCACACAGCAGGUGGCCAAGAUGGAGCCAAGUCAUUUUCCCCACUGCAAGGCUCAUGGUUUCGACUCUGUUGGUUCUCUAGCAGGACACGGGUGUCCUCCAGGUCACAGGGUCAGCUAACACCUUGAUCACCCACAGUGGAGGUGAGAACCUGCCCACUCUCUGACACUUCGGUGGCCAAGACUAUCCCUACAUCUUACCUUCUGCUCCAGCUCUUUCCUGGCUGUCAGCUCCGAGUCCAGCCUCUCCUCACAUUGCUGCAGACGCUUUCUGAGGAACUCGUUCUCCAUCUGAGCACAAUCAAAGCGCAUCUGCCACUCAUCUGCUGUUUAAUGGAGGCAGGGAGACCAGGAUAAGAGGCCAAAUGAGCAAAAAGUGAAAAAAAUACAAAAUCUGAGGCUGCUCUGUGCAUUCCAUGCUCCCCAUCUGUUUCACUUCUCCAGCCCAUCUGCUUCCCACCCUACUGACCACAUCACCAACUGCUGAGACCAAAAUACAUAUUUCAAUAGACACAGAGGAGAAAGAAGGCUUGGGAGAAGCAUUGCAAAGUCACCUCACAUGUUAAUCAUAACGAAGUAAUGAUUACCUUUGCCAUUUCACUGAUGAUGAAACAGAGGCUAAGAGACUUGAAGACUUUGCCCACAAUCUUGUGGCAGUAAGAGCACACGGUCAGCCAUCUGGAACUCAAGCCUGCUCCACCCUCUGUCCCUCCAAACUGGACAUACAAGGUGCUUCCAACAAGAAGGCCACCUCUGCUUUCUUAUGAAAAUUUAAAAACAAAAAAAACCAGUUUGUAUCAGGGCAGAUUUUGCAUGCUUGAAGAGUAUUUACAGCCAGCUUCUUAAAAGCUCCUCACCUCCUCGUCUGCUCCUUCACAAAUGAAGCACUUAAAUCAUUUUGCAGUAAUGCUGUCUUUUAAUAAGCCUAGUCAAACGGAGUUUCCGCCAACGAGACACAACAUGUUUUCGCAAUGUUUCUAU
Callithrix jacchus (white-tufted-ear marmoset) is the source of this 1313-nucleotide non-coding RNA. The record is from RefSeq and is a predicted model, not a curated record. NCBI's taxonomy places the organism in Eukaryota, Metazoa, Chordata, Mammalia, Primates, Cebidae.